UCAAGUGGAGAGACACCUGAUUUACCUCUGAAAAGGAUCAUUCUGGUUGCUCUGGGGACCACAUUGUGGCAGAGCAAGACUGGAAGCAGGGAGACCAAUUAGGAGGCUACUUCAAGAAUCUAGGAAAGAAAUCAUAGUUCUUUGAACCAAGGUGGAGACGAAAGAGGAUGGUUCCAGUAUUUGUUUAGAGGCAGAAUUGCACCUGGAAUAGCUGUGUUUCCCCUGUUUAUUAUCCCCAUUUGUUUUGUCUUCUGGAUACCUAAUGGAACUGACAGUAUUUCUCUUGGCCAUGAGGAAGCUUAGACCUAUGUAUGUGGCCUCCUUCUGGUCUGUAUAUGGAAUAAACAGAAUGCACUUUACAUGCUUAA
Long non-coding RNA from Leopardus geoffroyi (Geoffroy's cat), 368 nucleotides. RefSeq lists it as uncharacterized. NCBI's taxonomy places the organism in Eukaryota, Metazoa, Chordata, Mammalia, Carnivora, Felidae. The transcript has 2 exons. The record is from RefSeq and is a predicted model, not a curated record.